AUUGAACGCUGGCGGCAUGCCUUACACAUGCAAGUCGAACGGUAACAGGUCUUCGGAUGCUGACGAGUGGCGAACGGGUGAGUAAUACAUCGGAACGUGCCUAGUAGUGGGGGAUAACUACUCGAAAGAGUGGCUAAUACCGCAUGAGAUCUACGGAUGAAAGCAGGGGAUAGCAAGACCUUGUGCUACUAGAGCGGCCGAUGGCUGAUUAGGUAGUUGGUGGGAUAAAAGCUUACCAAGCCGACGAUCUGUAGCUGGUCUGAGAGGACGAUCAGCCACACUGGGACUGAGACACGGCCCAGACUCCUACGGGAGGCAGCAGUGGGGAAUUUUGGACAAUGGGCGCAAGCCUGAUCCAGCAAUGCCGCGUGCAGGAUGAAGGCCUUCAGGUUGUAAACUGCUUUUGUACGGAACGAAAAGCCCUGGGUUAAUACCCUGGGGUCAUGACGGUACCGUAAGAAUAAGCACCGGCUAACUACGUGCCAGCCGCCGCAGUAA
This 498-nucleotide ribosomal RNA is filed under the name uncultured bacterium. Its description in RNAcentral is "partial 16S ribosomal RNA". It matches the Rfam family "Bacterial small subunit ribosomal RNA", at positions 30 to 523 of the family's 1533-position model. The record is from RNAcentral.